UUGGCCCUGCUUUCCCACCAGGUGCUCCAUCACAGCUUCAUGCUGUGACUUAGCAUUACCACUACAUAAAGGCAUAUAAACUUUUAUGAAGAGGAAUUACGGAAUUUCCUGACUUACUCAGCAGAGCUUUAGAAAAUUCCAGGUUCUUGAUCUCUUACAGCAAAAUCUAAAAGAUUAAAGCCUCAUUAAAGCAACACAGUGGAUGGGAACUGCUGAUUGCAGCCUGAACUCUGAUGACCACCUGAGGCAAGCACUGAGUCAGCUGUGGGAGGCAGGUGAAGGCAAUUCAGCUGUGCUACCUGGAGGGGCUGCACCUCUGCACCCUGGCUGCACCUCUCCUGGACCCCAUUUAAGGAUGGCUGCCACUGAGGAAGGAUCUCUUCUGGAGAUUGCUCCUUGGGGAGUUCACUGGGAGUUUACAACACAGGUCUGUGAGCUUGGACCACAGGGAAACAGAGCCAUCCAUUCUGCAUUGUGUGCUGUGUGACAUGGAGUUGCAGCUGGAGUUGCUGGGAAAUGACCUUGUCUACCUGAAGUUCAGCCAGUUAUUCUAGAUAAAACACUAAACCAUAUUAUGCAUCUAAGCCGCAAUUCUGGAUUAUCUGUAACAAUUGUCUGUGCCAUACUUGAGAUGAGGUACUUUCAUCCAGUUGAUCCUGCAGGUCAGACUGGAACUAGCCUGGGAUGCAACCUCCCCAGGUAACAACUAUUUCUGACAGUGCCAAAAGCAAGUGCACUUCAUUCCCUGUCACAUUUGUGCUCACAGUUCGCAGCACUGAUGCAAACGUAGUGACUGCAUCACAAGUGUUGUGUCAAAUCCUAGAAGCCUUUCUCAGGCUUGUUUCAGCAACGUUUUUCUAGCCCCAGCAGCAAUAACAGCUCUGCAUUAUGAGGUGGAGACAUCAAUGUCACUAGCUUCAUGUUUCAAAGUAAUGUCAGCACAUCCUACUAAUCUACCUGCCUCCCGUUACAGCUGAAAGGGUGACAUUUCCCAAUGGCUUAACAAAGAUGCUAUUAUCUUUAACACUUUAAAAUACACAGCCACGCCUUACACCAAGAUAUUUAGAUUGCUAAAAUAAUAAAUAAAUAAACCAUCCAAACUGCUUAUUUUUACCUAAUACUCAAAGCUAAUUAGAGUGUGUACAGUUCUUCAGAGAUAAGGUAGAGGUUAUAUUUUGGAAACAGGCUCUCUACUUUAAAUACAUGUAGUUUAUCAUCGCUUCCUCCUUGCACUUAAUAUAGUAUUUGAUCUAAAUAUGCCUUGGUCUGCGGAGUGUUAGAAGCACUUUGAUUAAUAAAUGACACAUGGAAGUCAGAAAUAAACCAAUGAUACAAAGCAGAAGCAACCAAAAAGCUGCACAAAGAUUGCAAACAAUAUUUUUCAAGGACUGAGACCCUUCCACAAACAAAUGUAGCAAUCACUUCCAGCAACUUCAGUGAAUUCAAGUCACCACCACCCUACGAAAACACCAGAAGGCAUAGGCAGAAACACGUGUCCAUAAAAUACAGUGAGCCAUAAGAACCUGGUGAGCAUCAGUUUUGAAAGUUUCUGUGGUAGUCAGCAAAACUACAAGGACAAUUCCCAAAGUAAAUUUACAGCAGCGAGGCACCAUCAGCAAUUAACUACUUGCUUUGAUUAUGUUAUGAAAUUAUAUUGAAAGGCUUUAGCAGAAUAAGAGCAAAAUGUGCCACAGCGGAAGGUGAAGGAUAACACA
This is a long non-coding RNA of Tympanuchus pallidicinctus (lesser prairie-chicken), 1715 nucleotides long. RefSeq lists it as uncharacterized. The record is from RefSeq and is a predicted model, not a curated record. NCBI's taxonomy places the organism in Eukaryota, Metazoa, Chordata, Aves, Galliformes, Phasianidae. The transcript has 3 exons.